Molecule: transfer RNA, 74 nt
Filed under: Blochmannia endosymbiont of Camponotus (Colobopsis) obliquus
Lineage: Bacteria; Pseudomonadati; Pseudomonadota; Gammaproteobacteria; Enterobacterales; Enterobacteriaceae
Description: tRNA-Arg (ACG) (tRNA-Arg-ACG-1-1)
Rfam family: tRNA
About the family: Transfer RNA (tRNA) molecules are approximately 80 nucleotides in length. Their secondary structure includes four short double-helical elements and three loops (D, anti-codon, and T loops).
Source: Rfam by way of RNAcentral
GCACCCGUAACUCAGUUGGAUAGAGUACUCGGCUACGAACCGGGUUGUCGGGGGUUCAAAUCCUCCCGGGUGCG